GGGUUGUGAGGUUAAGCGACUAAGCGUACACGGUGGAUGCCCUGGCAGUCAGAGGCGAUGAAGGACGUGCUAAUCUGCGAUAAGCGUCGGUAAGGUGAUAUGAACCGUUAUAACCGGCGAUUUCCGAAUGGGGAAACCCAGUGUGUUUCGACACACUAUCAUUAACUGAAUCCAUAGGUUAAUGAGGCGAACCGGGGGAACUGAAACAUCUAAGUACCCCGAGGAAAAGAAAUCAACCGAGAUUCCCCCAGUAGCGGCGAGCGAACGGGGAGGAGCCCAGAGCCUGAACCAGUGUGUGUGUUAGUGGAAGCGUCUGGAAAGGCGCGCGAUACAGGGUGACAGCCCCGUACACAAAAAUGCACAUGCUGUGAGCUCGAUGAGUAGGGCGGGACACGUGGUAUCCUGUCUGAAUAUGGGGGGACCAUCCUCCAAGGCUAAAUACUCCUGACUGACCGAUAGUGAACCAGUACCGUGAGGGAAAGGCGAAAAGAACCCCGGCGAGGGGAGUGAAAAAGAACCUGAAACCGUGUACGUACAAGCAGUGGGAGCACGCUUCGGCGUGUGACUGCGUACCUUUUGUAUAAUGGGUCAGCGACUUAUAUUCUGUAGCAAGGUUAACCGAAUAGGGGAGCCGAAGGGAAACCGAGUCUUAACUGGGCGUUAAGUUGCAGGGUAUAGACCCGAAACCCGGUGAUCUAGCCAUGGGCAGGUUGAAGGUUGGGUAACACUAACUGGAGGACCGAACCGACUAAUGUUGAAAAAUUAGCGGAUGACUUGUGGCUGGGGGUGAAAGGCCAAUCAAACCGGGAGAUAGCUGGUUCUCCCCG
RNAcentral lists this ribosomal RNA (827 nucleotides) under Escherichia coli. RNAcentral's name for it is "partial 23S ribosomal RNA". It matches the Rfam family "Bacterial large subunit ribosomal RNA", at positions 1 to 861 of the family's 2925-position model. RNAcentral also lists the same sequence under 1 other name. Lineage: Bacteria; Pseudomonadati; Pseudomonadota; Gammaproteobacteria; Enterobacterales; Enterobacteriaceae. The record is from RNAcentral.